Phrynosoma platyrhinos (Desert horned lizard) is the source of this 72-nucleotide non-coding RNA. NCBI's taxonomy places the organism in Eukaryota, Metazoa, Chordata, Lepidosauria, Squamata, Phrynosomatidae. The record is from the annotation of a GenBank genome assembly.
GUCAAUGUGGUGUAGUGGUUUGAGCACCAGACUAUGGUUCUGGAGAUCAGGGUUCGAUUCCCUGUUCAGCCA